This 437-nucleotide ribosomal RNA is filed under the name uncultured bacterium. RNAcentral describes it as "partial 16S ribosomal RNA". It matches the Rfam family "Bacterial small subunit ribosomal RNA", at positions 29 to 507 of the family's 1533-position model. The record is from RNAcentral.
AGCGAACGCUGGCGGCAGGCUUAACACAUGCAAGUCGAGCGGGCAUCCUUGUGGUGUCAGCGGCAGACGGGUGAGUAACGCGUGGGAACGUGCCCUUCGGUUCGGAAUAACUCAGGGAAACUUGAGCUAAUACCGGAUACGUGCGAGAGCAGAAAGGUUUAUCUGCCGAAGGAUCGGCCCGCGUCUGAUUAGCUAGUUGGUGAGGUUAUGGCUCACCAAGGCGACGAUCAGUAGCUGGUCUGAGAGGAUGAUCAGCCACACUGGGACUGAGACACGGCCCAGACUCCUACGGGAGGCAGCAGUGGGGAAUAUUGGACGAUGGGGGCAACCCUGAUCCAGCCAUGCCGCGUGAGUGAUGACGGCCUUAGGGUUGUAAAGCUCUUUUCUUCGGGACGAUAAUGACGGUACCGGAGGAAUAAGCCCCGGCUAACUUCGUG